This 1242-nucleotide ribosomal RNA is filed under the name Triticum aestivum (bread wheat). Its description in RNAcentral is "partial small subunit ribosomal RNA". The record is from RNAcentral. Lineage: Eukaryota; Viridiplantae; Streptophyta; Magnoliopsida; Poales; Poaceae.
AUGGCUGUCGCCGCGGCUCGCUGCCGCCUGUGGCGCGGGAUGCGAACCGCAGCCGCCGCCACCGUGUCAGGCGAAGAGCUGUACGCGUCCCUGCUCUCACGCCUGGUGGCGGAGCCGGAGUGCCGCGUGAAGGCCACCAUGGAGGAGGCGACCUCCUCGGUCCCGCACCGCGAUGACGCCUUCUGGGAGCCCCUUGCCGCGGCCCUCCUCCGCGCGUCCUACCCAGCCAAGGCGCACCUCGUCUUGGAAUGGAAGCUAGAGAAGCUACUAAAGGAAGGGGUUAAUAGUUAUAAUUGUGAACCCUACUCGAUAAUAAUCCGUUUCUGUGGAGAGACAAGGAAUGCAGCUCUUGCAAUGAGAGUCUUUGAGUGCGCAGAGGCACAGGGAAUUCAACUGAACACUAGCAUUUUUAAUGCUCUUAUUAACACUUUCUUGUCUGUCGGAGAUCUCCUUGCUGCAGUGACCUUAUACGAGACCAUGGAAGGAAUAGAGGACUCCAAACUUGACCGUGCUACAUAUGAUGCAUUCAUAUAUGCAUUUUCGCGACUCCGAAGUGGCGAUGCUAUGAUGAACUGGUACUUGGCUGCAAAGAAUGCAGGGUUUAUUCCGGGUACUCAAGCUUUCGAAUCUUUGAUAGUGGGAUUUAUUCUGUUGAACAAGCUAGAUGAUGCUGAGUUGGUCUUCGGAGAAAUGGUUUCAUUUGAAACGAAGCCAACCUGUACUAUUUUGGAGGCCAAGCUUGAGGUGCUUUAUAGAACAGAAGAGGUUAAUAGGGUCAGAAGUUUCAUAAAACUUGUCAGUGAUGGCAACUGGGAGUUGAAUAAAGCUCUGGUUGACAGACUAACAAGACUAUGCCUGGAUGGAGGUGAAAUUGAUGUAAUGGAGCAGCUGCUCGCCCUAAUACAAAAGGAAGCACACUUUAGUUCUGUAACUCAACUGCAUUGUGGAAUUAUCAGGUUCUAUGCUAGUGCAGAUCUCUUGUCAGAUAUGGAACAUGCAAUAGGCCGGAUGUUGGAUGAUGGCAUGAUGUUUCUGUGCCCAGAGGAUGUUGAGGCUAUUAUUUGUUCAUAUUUUCGUCACAGGGCCUUUGAUAGGUUGGAGAUCUUUUUAAACCGCAUCCGAAGUUUGUACAUGCUCACCCGCUCUAGCUAUGAUAUAUUAGUUGCUGGAUUUCGGAGGUUUGACUUGCAUCAAACACUUGAGGCAACCAUAAAAGAUAUGAGGGAAGCUGGAUUUGCAUGA